GGCCAGCAGCCGCGGUAAUACGUAGGGGGCAAGCGUUAUCCGGAAUUAUUGGGCGUAAAGAGUGCGUAGGUGGUUUUGUAAGCGCGGGGUGAAAGGCAAUGGCUCAACUAUUGUAAGCCCUGCGAACUGUGAGACUUGAGUGCAGGAGAGGAAAGCGGAAUUCCUAGUGUAGCGGUGAAAUGCGUAGAUAUUAGGAGGAACACCAGUGGCGAAGGCGGCUUUCUGGACUGUAACUGACACUGAGGCACGAAAGCGUGGGGAGCAAACAGGAUUAGAUACCCUGGUAGUCCACGCCGUAAACGAUGAGCACUAGGUGUCGGGGCCGCAAGGCUUCGGUGCCGCAGUUAACGCAUUAAGUGCUCCGCCUGGGGAGUACGCACGCAAGUGUGAAACUCAAAGGAAUUGACGGGGGCCCGCACA
This 420-nucleotide ribosomal RNA is filed under the name uncultured bacterium. RNAcentral's name for it is "bacterial SSU rRNA". It matches the Rfam family "Bacterial small subunit ribosomal RNA", at positions 506 to 927 of the family's 1533-position model. The record is from RNAcentral.